AACGCACAUUGCGCCCCUUGGUAUUCCGGGGGGCAUGCCUGUUCGAGCGUCAUUACAACCCUCAAGCCUGGCUUGGUAUUGGGCUUCGCCACUAACCUGGCGGGCCUUAAAAUCAGUGGCGGUGCCUCCGAGGCCCUAAGCGCAGUAAAUAUCCUCGCUAUAGGGACCCGGUGGUUACUGGCCAGCAACCCCAACUUUCUAAGUUUGACCUCGGAUCAGGUAGGGAUACCCGCUGAACUUAA
This 242-nucleotide unclassified non-coding RNA is filed under the name uncultured fungus. Its description in RNAcentral is "sequence contains ITS2". Lineage: Eukaryota; Fungi. The record is from RNAcentral.